GGAUGGAUCAUUAUUGGUCUAUUUUGAUAUUUGUGGGACACUAUUUGUUUUAAAACUACUAACGGUUUUUUCUAAAAUUAUACACUCCCACCGCUGGAUCUCUUGGCUCUCGCAGCGAAGAAGAACGCAGCAAAAGGCGAUACGUAAAGUGGCGCGCAGACACGACACUUUAAUGUUUGAACGCACAUUGCGCCCCUUACAGGGCGUGAUUAGUUGAGGGCGGGCGCAGUGGCUUCGCCGAUUUGGGUUCUGCUUGUAUGCAACCUGAAACAAAGUUCCGCGAUUAAAAUGCGUCGGAGCGCCGCCUCAGCUAAUCAGGACUACCCGCCGGACUUAAGCAUAUUAAUAGGCGGAGGAAAAGAAACUAACAAGGAUUCCCCCAGUAAUGGCGAACGAAGCGGGAAUAGCCCAGGCCGAAAUCUGCGGAGAUGUGGCUUGUGGGCGCGUGGUGCAGCUAAUCCAAGUCCCUUGGAAAAGGGCGCCUUAGAGGGUGAGAGCCCCGUGGAUGGCAUUAAUGCAGGGCGCGUUCCGGGAGUCGCGUUGCUUGGGAGUGCAGCGCGAAUGGUGGUAUGCUCCAUCGAAGGCUAAAUAAUGGCGAGAGGCCGAUAGCGAACAAGUACCGUGAGGGAAAGAUGAAAAGGACUCUGAAGAGAGAGUCAAAAGGGCGUGAAAACGGUGGGAGGGAAGCGCUAUACUCCGGGGGCCGGCAGCGAUGGCGGCAACAGCGGGCGCAAGUGCGGCGGCUGAGCGGGGUAUAGCGGCCCGUCUUGAAACACGGACCAAGGAGUCCAGCAGUGGCGCGAGUGCGUGGGUAUCUAAAACCCGGGCGCGGAGCGAAAGCGAGAGAUGGGACCUCAUUUACGAGGGCACCAUCAGCGGCCGUUUUCCUUCGGGAUGGCGGUCGCAAGCGCGGAUGCUGGGACCCGAAAGACGGUGAACUAUGCCUGGAGAGGGUGAAGGCAGAGGAAACUCUGGCGGAGGCCCGCAGCGGUACUGACGUGCAAAUCGUUCGUCGCAUCUGGGUAUAGGGGCGAAAGACUAAUCGAACCGUCUGGUAGCUGGUUCCCUC
RNAcentral lists this unclassified non-coding RNA (1069 nucleotides) under uncultured fungus. RNAcentral describes it as "sequence contains 18S rRNA gene, ITS1, 5.8S rRNA gene, ITS2, 28S rRNA gene". The stretch from base 302 to 1069 matches the Rfam family "Eukaryotic large subunit ribosomal RNA", at positions 1 to 961 of the family's 3401-position model. The record is from RNAcentral. Lineage: Eukaryota; Fungi.